This 943-nucleotide long non-coding RNA is filed under the name Cavia porcellus (domestic guinea pig). RNAcentral describes it as "lncRNA (ENSCPOG00000030990.1)". The record is from RNAcentral. Lineage: Eukaryota; Metazoa; Chordata; Mammalia; Rodentia; Caviidae.
GCAACUACUGUGAAGAUAACAAUAUGCAAUAUAUAUUAACUAUUGUUAAAUUCCUAUUAUAUUGUUAAAAAUUCUGCAUCAUUGUUUUUAUCAUUUCUUUUUUCCUCUUAAAAAAAAUCAUUGGCCCAAUGUUAUUUAGUGACCUACUGAAACCCAAAACAAUAACUUUAUACCUUUCCUUGGCUUUUGAACUUACCAUUUCUCUUUCUACCUAGAGCCCCCACAGGAUCAUAUGGUAAUAUGCUCCACUACCUAGGCCCAUUUGCCAACUGAAACCUCCAGCACCAAUCAAAAACGCUUUCUUCUUUGCAUCUUCCUUUUGUCUGGUAAUGGCUCUAUAAUGCUGUACCUAACAGACUUACUGUCAUAUCACUUUUAUUGUUCCCUAUCCACUGACAUCUGGAGCCUGACACUUCCAAGUGCCAACACACCCCUCCAUGGACACCCAGGAAAAGUAACCACUAAUCACUGGCCUUCACUCAUUUCGCUGUUCUUCUGCCUAUAAAUGGAGGGAGAAGGUUCUUCCUGCACUGAAUCAGAUGUGAGCACUAAUGGAAGCAUUUUUAAAUUGCCUUUAAGAAACAGCAGAAAACUCAGUGGCAGCCACUCCAGGGGGAGAACCAGCCAGCCACCUCCUGAGUCCGAGCCAUGUUGGAACUUAGGGCAUUGGGAAACCAAGCAACCAGCUCGCCUCCCUGGUAAGCAGGCAUGGCUCAGGCAAGUGGCAGCUGUCCCAGGGGGAGAACCAGCCAGUGCCUCCCAAGAUCCACACCAUGUUGGAACUUAGGGUGCUGGGAAACCAAGCAGCCAGCUUGCUUUCCUGGUAAGCAGCCAUGAGCCUACCACACGCAGGCUGAGAAUCAAACUCCCUCCCUGUCCCCCAGCAAAUGGGAACCAGAGGUCUGAGCAGCUCUUGGGAGGUUUACUGUAUGCAAUAUAGCAA